This 404-nucleotide ribosomal RNA is filed under the name uncultured Limnohabitans sp. RNAcentral's name for it is "bacterial SSU rRNA". It matches the Rfam family "Bacterial small subunit ribosomal RNA", at positions 1 to 414 of the family's 1533-position model. Lineage: Bacteria; Pseudomonadati; Pseudomonadota; Betaproteobacteria; Burkholderiales; Comamonadaceae. The record is from RNAcentral.
GUCAGAGUUUGAUCCUGGCUCAGAUUGAACGCUGGCGGAAUGCUUUACACAUGCAAGUCGAACGGUAGAGGGGGCAACCCCUUGAGAGUGGCGAACGGGUGAGUAAUAUAUCGGAACGUGCCCAGUCGUGGGGGAUAACGUAGUGAAAAUUACGCUAAUACCGCAUACGAUCUAAGGAUGAAAGCGGGGGAUCGCAAGACCUCGCGCGAUUGGAGCGGCCGAUAUCAGAUUAGGUAGUUGGUGGGGUAAAGGCUCACCAAGCCAACGAUCUGUAGCUGGUCUGAGAGGACGACCAGCCACACUGGAACUGAGACACGGUCCAGACUCCUACGGGAGCAGCAGUGGGGAAUUUUGGACAAUGGACGCAAGUCUGAUCCAGCCCAUUCCCGCGUGCAGGAUGAAGG